RNAcentral lists this ribosomal RNA (253 nucleotides) under uncultured bacterium. RNAcentral describes it as "partial 16S ribosomal RNA". It matches the Rfam family "Bacterial small subunit ribosomal RNA", at positions 524 to 776 of the family's 1533-position model. The record is from RNAcentral.
UACGUAGGGUGCGAGCGUUAAUCGGAAUUACUGGGCGUAAAGCGUGCGCAGGCGGUUUUGUAAGCCAGAUGUGAAAUCCCCGGGCUUAACCUGGGAAUGGCAUUUGGGACUGCAAGGCUUGAGUGCGGCAGAGGAGACUGGAAUUCCUGGUGUAGCAGUGAAAUGCGUAGAUAUCAGGAGGAACACCGAUGGCGAAGGCAGGUCUCUGGGCUGACACUGACGCUCAUACACGAAAGCAUGGGGAGCAAACAGG